Long non-coding RNA from Parambassis ranga (Indian glassy fish), 401 nucleotides. The record is from Ensembl. NCBI's taxonomy places the organism in Eukaryota, Metazoa, Chordata, Actinopteri, Ambassidae.
GUAAUGUGACAAUAAACUACAUUUACAUAUUUAUAUCAGUUAAUAUAUUCAUAGACAUUUAGGACCAAAUGUUGAUUGAAUUGUGCUUAAGUGGACUAACUAUGCUGUUUGCCUGGUCUGCCUGUUGCAGGUCUUUGCAGAAGAUGUCUACGUUGCUGAGCUGAUGGUGGAGAGCAACACCACGCUGGAUGCCCAGUUCAUCCUCACACUUCUGAAUGGAACAAGCUCCCUCUGGGUGACGGGUGCAGGCGGGACAAACUACACUGUGACCCUCACAAACUCACUGGUGGCAGAGUGCCUCGUCAUUGGAGACGAAACCAGCUGCAACUGCUCUACUGGGUACGCUUGGAGCAACGAGGUGUGUUACAAAUACAACUGCUGCCGUGAGACUACUUGCAGAC